CAAUUUUUAUCUGUGUUUUAUGUUGGUGUGCAUUUGAGAGUUUAUGAAGUGGUUCUCUAUCAUUCAUAUUUGUAUGCCCUAUAACUGCAAGCUCAUUCAGAAUUUCCUGCUUCAUUUCAAUGAUUUUCUGUGUUGUUCAACAAAUAUGUGGUCUUCAAA
This is a long non-coding RNA of Octopus sinensis (East Asian common octopus), 159 nucleotides long. RefSeq lists it as uncharacterized. The record is from RefSeq and is a predicted model, not a curated record. The transcript is spliced from 3 exons. NCBI's taxonomy places the organism in Eukaryota, Metazoa, Mollusca, Cephalopoda, Octopoda, Octopodidae.